GCCCAUUAGCUAGUUGGUAGGGUAACGGCCUACCAAGGCUGUGACGGGUAGGUGGUCUGAGAGGAUGGUCACCCACACUGGGACUGAGACACUGCCCAGACUCCUACGGGAGGCUGCAGUCGAGAAUCUUCCGCAAUGGACGCAAGUCUGACGGAGCGAUGCCGCGUGAGGGAUGAAGGCCUUCGGGUUGUAAACCUCUGUCAGAGGGGACGAAAUUUGACGGUACCCUCAGAGGAAGCCACGGCUAACUACGUGCCAGCAGCCGCGGUAAUACGUAGGUGGCGAGCGUUAUUCGGAUUUACUGGGCGUAAAGGGUUCGUAGGGGGUUUGUCAAGUCUGAUGUGAAAUCCCGCGGCUCAACCGCGGACGUGCAUUGGAUACUGCCGAACUAGAGUUCUUGAUGGGAAAGCGGAAUUCCAGGUGUAGCGGUGGAAUGCGUAGAUAUCUGGAAGAACACCAGCGGCGAAGGCGGCUUUCUGGCAAGAUACUGACCCUGAGGGACGAAAGCGUGGGUAGCGAACAGGAUUAGAUACNCCUGGUAGUCCACGCCGUAAACGUUGUGCACUAGAUGUGGGUGGUCCUUUGGUCCUUCCCGUGUCCAAGCUAACGCGAUAAGUGCACCGCCUGGGGACUACGGCCGCAAGGCUAAAACUCAAAGGAAUUGAACGGGGGCCCGCACAAGCGGUGGGAGCAUGUGGCUUAAUUCGAGGCAACG
Molecule: ribosomal RNA, 715 nt
Filed under: uncultured organism
Description: bacterial SSU rRNA
Rfam family: Bacterial small subunit ribosomal RNA
Source: RNAcentral